AGUGAACGCUGGCGGUAGGCCUAACACAUGCAAGUCGAACGGCAGCACAGUAAGAGCUUGCUCUUACGGGUGGCGAGUGGCGGACGGGUGAGGAAUACAUCGGAAUCUACUUUUUCGUGGGGGAUAACGUAGGGAAACUUACGCUAAUACCGCAUACGACCUACGGGUGAAAGCAGGGGAUCUUCGGACCUUGCGCGAUUGAAUGAGCCGAUGUCGGAUUAGCUAGUUGGCGGGGUAAAGGCCCACCAAGGCGACGAUCCGUAGCUGGUCUGAGAGGAUGAUCAGCCACACUGGAACUGAGACACCGUCCAGACUCCUACGGGAGGCCGCAGUGGGGAAUAUUGGACAAUGGGCGCAAGCCUGAUCCAGCCAUACCGCGUGGGUGAAGAAGGCCUUCGGGUUGUAAAGCCCUUUUGUUGGGAAAGAAAAGCAGCAGGUUAAUACCCCGCUGUUCUGACGGUACCCAAAGAAUAAGCACCGGCUAACUUCGUG
This 492-nucleotide ribosomal RNA is filed under the name uncultured bacterium. RNAcentral describes it as "partial 16S ribosomal RNA". It matches the Rfam family "Bacterial small subunit ribosomal RNA", at positions 29 to 507 of the family's 1533-position model. The record is from RNAcentral.